Molecule: long non-coding RNA, 1389 nt
Organism: Raphanus sativus (radish)
Lineage: Eukaryota; Viridiplantae; Streptophyta; Magnoliopsida; Brassicales; Brassicaceae
Exons: 3
Source: RefSeq, a predicted model, not a curated record
UUUAUAUAAAGAAGGGUUUUAAUCCCUCCUAGACUAUCCACAUAGGAUGCCAUGUCACAAACUCAUUUAUUCAGAAGCCGCCACGUGUCUGUUCAUCUAAAACGCAGCGCCUUUAUUCCUUUCUUCGUGAGUUAUGCGAUGAGUCGGCGUCGUCCUGUAUUCCUCCCUUUUGAAUCCUCAUCUUCCGAUCGAAAAAAAUCUGGAAACGUUACGGAGUUAGGCUGAGUUAAAGCGUCGUCUUUAACGCACUCAUUAGCCAUCCCUUUAUUUUUUUUCUCAGAUUUUUCCACUAUAAAAAGGUGUGCUUUACCCCCAAAAAAAUUCAUCAUUCUAAUCUGAGCUUCCUAAAAUAAUAGUCAGGUGUAUCCUUCAUUCUAAUCUGAGCUUCCUAUAAAAAGGUUGGUCUUUGAUUUCAACCUCAAAGAACAAAGAUUUAUCAUCUUCCUUUGAUUUUCUUUUUUCUACUAUCAGUGAUUUCCAUUCCUCCUCAUUUGUUAGCAAAUUUAUGAUUUUCCGUAGUCCAUUAUUGGCUUUUUAUAUUGGCUUUUUCGUAGCCCCUCAUACCUUCUAUAGUGUGAAUCUGCAAUCUAUAAAUAUUCCAACUUACGGUGGGUUUGUGGCGAAUGUAAAAAGUUCUUAGGAGUCUGAUGUCGCAAGAUAAAUUAAUGCAGAUCUUAAUAUGUGUGUAUGCGGAUGUGAUGGAAUUUGUUGUUGUACGCGGAAUGGUGAGAAUUGCGGAGAGUCUGAUAUGGCGGAGCAUUGGAGUCGUAUCGAGGAGACGAGCAAGAAGCAGAGAGAGGGGAAGAGUAUUGGCGGAGUUAUAGUGGAUGAGUGAAGAAACAGCGUGUACGUGGAUGAUCCGUACCAGAGUGCAUGGGGGAAGGAGUAGAUGAGAAGGAAGGCGUUUGAGCUGGUGGAUAGGAAGGUUGGGUACGAGUUGGAGUCGGAAUAGAUGAAGGUCGUUGGAUCUUAAAUAUUUUAUAAAUCUAGCAUUCCCAAUGAUUCUGUUGAUAAUUGAUGUAAGUGGAAAUAUACAUCUGAGAUGAAUUAUGAAACGUGAUUAGCAGCAAAGUUAGGAACAGAGACAGUUCAUGAUUAGGCAUGCAAUGGCACCUCAAUUUUGGAUAGUUUGAAGUUAUCGAAGAUGGAUUUGGAUGUAAGAAUGUGUAAUGGUAAUGGGCUCAAAGAAGUUUCAGUUGGGUUGGCAAGUAGUAUGAUUUAUGCUCCUACACACAAGAAGGAUUAUGUUGGGAUGAGUAGGUAUGAGAAACAAUGGAAGUCAGGAAAUUUCUAAUCUUUUACAUAUUGGUUUAUGUUGCUGUACUUUCUUAAAAUUUACACCGUUUCAGAUAUUUUAAAGUGAAAGAAUUAUAAAUUCCUGCUACAGCA